RNAcentral lists this ribosomal RNA (507 nucleotides) under uncultured bacterium. Its description in RNAcentral is "bacterial SSU rRNA". It matches the Rfam family "Bacterial small subunit ribosomal RNA", at positions 28 to 527 of the family's 1533-position model. The record is from RNAcentral.
GAUGAACGCUAGCGGGAGGCUUAACACAUGCAAGUCGAGGGGCAGCAUAGGGUAGCAAUACUCUGAUGGCGACCGGCAAACGGGUGAGUAACGCGUAUGCAACCUACCCUGUACAGGGGGAUAACCCGGAGAAAUUCGGACUAAUAUCCCGUAAUAAUAUCCGGAGGCAUCUUUGGAUAUUUAAAGUUUCGACGGUACGGGAUGGGCAUGCGUAACAUUAGCUGGUUGGUAAGGUAACGGCUUACCAAGGCUAUGAUGUUUAGGGGUCCUGAGAGGGUGGUCCCCCACACUGGUACUGAGACACGGACCAGACUCCUACGGGAGGCAGCAGUGAGGAAUAUUGGUCAAUGGGCGCAAGCCUGAACCAGCCAUCCCGCGUGCAGGAAGACGGCCCUAUGGGUUGUAAACUGCUUUUCCAGGGAGAGAAACUUACGCACGUGUUGCGUGACUGACGGUACCCUGGGAAUAAGCAUCGGCUAACUCCGUGCCAGCAGCCGCGGUAAAUCA